This is a long non-coding RNA of Trachymyrmex septentrionalis, 650 nucleotides long. RefSeq lists it as uncharacterized. NCBI's taxonomy places the organism in Eukaryota, Metazoa, Arthropoda, Insecta, Hymenoptera, Formicidae. The transcript has 2 exons. The record is from RefSeq and is a predicted model, not a curated record.
UCCGCCUUUUAUUUUAUAUAAUACAAUUCUCUUAAAAGCGAGCAGACAGCCGCGUCCAUUCUCUUUCGCGAACAAUUAAAUCCUAAGAUUAGCCCUCGAGAAACGAGCACCGGUUUACGAAACCAGUCCGCGAAUGGCAGCCGCGUUGGCAACCGACUCGAGAAACGCUGGUCCAUAGCGUAUUUUUGUUCCGUUUAAAUCUGACAAGAAUAGAAGAGGACGUGAAGGCAAUGCAAAUGGCACGUACGAAUUCGUAGGUCUUCAAGAAAUUCGUCCAACUUGGUGUCAGCGAGGAAAGAGAGGAUCCAGCUGCUUCUCCGGAAGGUUAAAAAAGAUGCACAAAAGCCAUGUUUUCUCGUUCGAUUCCUUCCGGAUAUUUACAAAUUAAUAAUCGUCAACGUUUUGCGAUUUCCGUCGUAAGAGAUCAGCCGUCCAUUGCUGCUUCACUCUCUCGUAAGGUGAAAAUCAGGACAACAACCCACGAGGAACAUGCAGGAGCUGCACGGGAUAUCGAUCGACCCCCGGGCUAUUCUGGAUAACACCCACGCACACACAGAUGCGCGUAGGUCGGGCUGGGAUGGAAUCAGGUCGGCUGGAAGGAGAUCUCCGUGCGAAAGUGGCUUGCGGUCUCGCUUGCGACCGUCCAGCAA